RNAcentral lists this ribosomal RNA (253 nucleotides) under uncultured bacterium. RNAcentral's name for it is "partial 16S ribosomal RNA". It matches the Rfam family "Bacterial small subunit ribosomal RNA", at positions 524 to 776 of the family's 1533-position model. The record is from RNAcentral.
UACGUAGGUGGCAAGCGUUGUCCGGAUUUACUGGGCGUAAAGAGCGCGCAGGCGGUCGUGCAAGUCGCGUGUGAAAGCCCCCGGCUCAACUGGGGAGGGUCACGCGAUACUGCUCGACUCGAAGGCAGGAGAGGGAAGUGGAAUUCCCGGUGUAGUGGUGAAAUGCGUAGAGAUCGGGAGGAACACCUGUGGCGAAGGCGGCCGACUGGGCCGACCCUGACGCUGAGGCGCGAAGGCGUGGGGAGCGAACGGG